Molecule: ribosomal RNA, 211 nt
Filed under: uncultured bacterium
Lineage: Bacteria
Description: partial 16S ribosomal RNA
Rfam family: Bacterial small subunit ribosomal RNA
Source: RNAcentral
UACGGGGGGGGCAAGCGUUGUUCGGAAUUACUGGGCGUAAAGGGCUCGUAGGUGGCCAACUAAGUCAGACGUGAAAUCCCUCGGCUUAACCGGGGAACUGCGUCUGAUACUGGAUGGCUUGAGUUCGGGAGAGGGAUGCGGAAUUCCAGGUGUAGCGGUGAAAUGCGUAGAUAUCUGGAGGAACACCGGUGGCGAAGGCGGCAUCCUGGAC